UACGUAGGGUGCAAGCGUUAAUCGGAAUUACUGGGCGUAAAGCGUGCGCAGGCGGUGAUGUAAGACAGAUGUGAAAUCCCCGGGCUUAACCUGGGAACUGCACUUGUGACUGCAUCGCUGGAGUGCGGCAGAGGGGGAUGGAAUUCCGCGUGUAGCAGUGAAAUGCGUAGAUAUGCGGAGGAACACCGAUGGCGAAGGCAAUCCCCUGGGCCUGCACUGACGCUCAUGCACGAAAGCGUGGGGAGCAAACAGG
RNAcentral lists this ribosomal RNA (253 nucleotides) under uncultured bacterium. Its description in RNAcentral is "partial 16S ribosomal RNA". It matches the Rfam family "Bacterial small subunit ribosomal RNA", at positions 524 to 776 of the family's 1533-position model. The record is from RNAcentral.